ACGAACGCUGGCGGCGUGCUUAACACAUGCAAGUCGAACGAAGAGCGAUGGAAGCUUGCUUCUAUCAAUCUUAGUGGCGAACGGGUGAGUAACGCGUAAUCAACCUGCCCUUCAGAGGGGGACAACAGUUGGAAACGACUGCUAAUACCGCAUACGAUCUAAUCUCGGCAUCGAGGAUAGAUGAAAGGUGGCCUCUACAUGUAAGCUAUCACUGAAGGAGGGGAUUGCGUCUGAUUAGCUAGUUGGAGGGGUAACGGCCCACCAAGGCGAUGAUCAGUAGCCGGUCUGAGAGGAUGAACGGCCACAUUGGGACUGAGACACGGCCCAGACUCCUACGGGAGGCAGCAGUGGGGAAUCUUCCGCAAUGGACGAAAGUCUGACGGAGCAACGCCGCGUGAGUGAUGACGGCCUUCGGGUUGUAAAGCUCUGUUAAUCGGGACGAAAGGCCUUCUUGCGAACAGUUAGAAGGAUUGACGGUACCGGAAGAGAAAGCCACGGCUAACUACGUG
RNAcentral lists this ribosomal RNA (509 nucleotides) under uncultured bacterium. RNAcentral's name for it is "partial 16S ribosomal RNA". It matches the Rfam family "Bacterial small subunit ribosomal RNA", at positions 29 to 507 of the family's 1533-position model. The record is from RNAcentral.